Molecule: ribosomal RNA, 292 nt
Filed under: uncultured bacterium
Lineage: Bacteria
Description: partial 16S ribosomal RNA
Rfam family: Bacterial small subunit ribosomal RNA
Source: RNAcentral
GUGUCAGCCGCCGCGGUAAUACGAGGGGGGCGAGCGUUGUUCGGAAUUAUUGGGCGUAAAGGGUGCGUAGGCGGUUUGGUAAGUCUCUUGUGAAAUCUAUGGGCUCAACUCAUAGUCUGCAAGGGAAACUGCCGGGCUUGAGUGUGGGAGAGGUGAGUGGAAUUUCCGGUGUAGCGGUGAAAUGCGUAGAUAUCGGAAGGAACACCUGUGGCGAAAGCGGCUCACUGGACCACAACUGACGCUGAUGCACGAAAGCUAGGGGAGCAAACAGGAUUAGAAACCCUAGUAGUCC